Long non-coding RNA from Photinus pyralis (common eastern firefly), 1242 nucleotides. RefSeq lists it as uncharacterized. NCBI's taxonomy places the organism in Eukaryota, Metazoa, Arthropoda, Insecta, Coleoptera, Lampyridae. The transcript is spliced from 4 exons. The record is from RefSeq and is a predicted model, not a curated record.
CAAACUGGUCAAAACUGGUCACAGCUGACAAGAUUAAGACGGACAAUCCUGCUACAGCACCUCUGGCGUCUUCCACUCUUGCUGCUAUACGCACCGAUCCGCCGUCAGUUGUAUCAAACCGACUUUCUCAACCACUGGACGAACGUUUAUGCCGGUUUUCUGUGACGCAAUUCCUUCAUGAAGCGUUCUCGAUCAGGGAUCCGUUUGCUGGCUGUAGCCGUCACCGUUCUCGAUCUUCAAAUUCCAAUGGGUCUGUUGGUAUCACACGAGUUUGGGAAACUAUUCAGCCAAGGGCACUCGUUUCAAUCAAACUCCACAGCUGACUGUCCUACAGGAGGAUGUCGCGUUUUCGUAAUGGACCAUGAGGUCUGCAGUGUGUUCUCUCUACUUUGUUUGAUGGCUUUUCCCAGGAGUGACUGAAUUAAUAAGGCUAAAGGAAGAGCGCUGCAGUGGUCCUACUUUGGUUUAUCGCUCUUCCCAGGAGAAACUGGAUUAAUAAGGCUAAAGGGUAAUUUUCUAGCCCCGCCCCUCAAUUUAAGGCGUUCCUUAUAUUUGCCCACCAAACAGAUGUCGCACUAACGAUUGUAUGUCUGUGUGGUUUUUUAAAAACGAGUCAUAAAUGGGGUCAACUGCACACACUAUUUUAGCAUUUUUCGUUUUCUUUAGAAAGGCAAUCGGUUGGAAUUUUAGUAGCAGUGGAAGAAUUUGUGAUGAUGUUUAUCUGGCAUUUAGCAGCACUAACAUCGUCUGCGUUCAUUAUUUCGAUAAGUAAAAAUUGAGUGUGAAGUUGGCCCCGAACUUGUUUUCUUAUUUUUCUCAUGUUAUGUAGCAGCACUAACGAUAAGCUUCGAGCACUAACGUAGCACCAACUGUGGACACAUUUUUGUCAACUUAUUUUAUGUGGGCGGGGCCAACUUCACAUGGUUCCAAUUUGGCUCGCCCGUAUGUAUCACUGCAGAUGAAUUGUCAGUUUGAAUCUGUUUUGUUUAGAACCCUGAAUUAUAUUUUGGGUGUAGAAGGAUCGUGCCAUUCCUGUUCCAAUGAUAUGGUUGAACGUUUGCAUUGCACCGUUUGGAAUUCGCAUUUCCUUGGGAGGAUUUAGGGCAGGCUAUAAGAACAUUCUGGAAAUUACCAGGAUGGCAGAAUAUUUCCAUUUACACAUAAUGCUCUUUUGGCCUGGGUGUCAAGGAAUAAAAUUUUGUAAUUAACUGUAUAUAAUGCAUAUUAGGUUUUGUAAAGGUA